Molecule: ribosomal RNA, 508 nt
Filed under: Raillietina sp. MSS-2018
Lineage: Eukaryota; Metazoa; Platyhelminthes; Cestoda; Cyclophyllidea; Davaineidae
Description: SSU rRNA
Rfam family: Eukaryotic small subunit ribosomal RNA
Source: RNAcentral
AUUAAAUCAGCUAUGGUUUAUUGGAUCAUACCCGUUAAAUGGAUAACUGUAAUAACUCUAGAGCUAAUACAUGCCUCGAUGCCCCGACCCUGUCCCCUUGUGGCUCCUCGUAGCUGCAAUCGUGGGCAAGGGAGGGGUGCACUUAUUAGAUCAGAAGCCAACCGGCGUCGCGUGUGUACUCACGUGCGCUGCAGCACUUCUGGUGACUCUGGAUAAUUGUUACAGAUCGCAGUCGGCCUUGAGUCGGCGACGGGUCCUUCAAAUGUCUGCCCUAUCAACCUUCGAUGGUAGGUGACCUGCCUACCAUAGUAAUAACGGGUAACGGGGAAUCAGGGUUCGAUUCCGGAGAGGGAGCCUGAGAAACGGCUACCACUUCCAAGGGAGGCAGCAGGCGCGCAAAUUACCCACUCCCAGCACGGGGAGGUGGUGACGAAAAAUACCGAUGCGGGACUCCUUCAAGAGGCUCCGUAAUCGGAAUGAGUGGACUCUAAAUCCUUUCACGAGGAUC